This 698-nucleotide long non-coding RNA is filed under the name Helianthus annuus (common sunflower). RNAcentral's name for it is "sRNA HanXRQr2_Chr12g0555901". Lineage: Eukaryota; Viridiplantae; Streptophyta; Magnoliopsida; Asterales; Asteraceae. The record is from RNAcentral.
GUAAUAAUGUUACCUGGUCCGAGAAAAGAUUAACCAGUCAGGCAAGCGUUUUACAAGCAAGUUAUUGAGACUAUACAGCAUGAAAAUAACUAAGUUUUAUUAGCACCCGUUUUUUUAACCGGUUUCAACCCGAACAGAACCGACGUUUUGUAUACCGUCAACAUUCUCGAUCUUUGAAACUGGUUUUAAAACCAGUUUAAACCGGAAAAAAAGUUUUUUUUUUUUUUUGCCCAAAUCAGUUUUUAAGCAAACCAAAUCAAUUAAUACCCGUUCAGGUCCGCAAACAUAUCUACACAAAAUAAAUGCAAAAUUAAUAAACAAACGUGUUUUCAUAUGAUGCAAUGACCUCAUUAACACCGGGUUUUUUUUAAACUGAACCGGCGGUUUAAUAAGGGUAUUUACUUAAGAUUCACAAUAAAAUGCAGUAUAAAUAGAAAAGUAAACGUUUAAAAUCUAAGGAUGAUCAAAAGAUAUACCUGGGAUUCUAUCAUGUCGGUUGUAAAGUAUCCAUCAAAGUAAAAGUAACCAUCAAUCAUACCCACCAAAGUCCUGAAAAGUGAAAAGAUUCCAAUUGAAGUAAUAUGUCAAGGUGUUCGUUAAUGAUGCCAAAAAGUAAUUGUGUUCUCGGUAUGGUGAAACAAUGUCGAUUACUCGAAGUAACAAUGGAGAUGCAGUUACUUAACUUGUUAUUUGUGUAG